Molecule: ribosomal RNA, 253 nt
Filed under: uncultured bacterium
Lineage: Bacteria
Description: partial 16S ribosomal RNA
Rfam family: Bacterial small subunit ribosomal RNA
Source: RNAcentral
UACAGAGGCCUCGAGCGUUAGGCGGAAUCACUGGGCUUAAAGCGUGUGUAGGCGGACUUCUAAGUACCUUGUGAAAUCCCACGGCUCACCCGUGGAGCUGCUGGGUAUACUGGUCGUCUUGAGCCUUCUAGGGGCUACCGGAACAAAUGGUGGAGCGGUGAAAUGCGUAGAUAUCGGAAGGAACAUCAGUGGCGAAAGCGGCUUCCUGGACCAGUACCGACGUUCAGGCACGAAAGCGUGGGGAGCAAACAGG